CCUACUUCGUGUUUACGAAAGCUGGGAGCAGGCCUCAAAGUGGGUUUGCGAGUCCCUGGUGUCAUGUAGUGAGAACUGCUUUAGUGUUGGCUUCGCGUCAGCCCACCAAAAAAUAUUUUGAUUCCCCUAGCAAUUAUAAAUACGUACACGGAGAAAGCUGGGUCUGAAAUCCUGAACUGGGAAAGCAGACUGCUCAUUAAUAUCCCACUACUCCAUAAAAGCUGAAGCAAAAGUGAUGGAGCGCUUACCUAGGCCACGGUGUACGUGAAUUGGACACUGUCUUAGAGAUACACAAGCUCUAGUUCCAGCUAGAGCCUAUUCUUCUUAUCAACAGUGUGAAUAUGACCCUCAUCUGUAAAACAAGAACGGGGUUGGAAACCUGCACUUCACGUAUGAUAAAUACAUGAUCCACAUAGGCUCUGGGCCUCUAACUUCUGAUAAGGACUAGCUCAUGGGAUACACCAGCCAGAGAUUGCAGAGUGGAAAUAAAAUGUAGGUACGUGUAUAUCACUGUCUGCAUCCAUCAUGCAUGUGGGACUGUUAAAGUUUCAUCCUCUAUGACCUUAGCAAUGUCAACAUAUGUCACUAGGAAAGUAGUAUAAGCUACACACACAUACACACACACACACACACACACACACACACACACACAUACAUCAGACAGUGCCAAGCAUGGUCUCUUACAGAGAAAAUAUUUUGCUAAAUCAUUCGUUCCAUUAGAUCUGUUAAACAAUGAAUUUCAAAAUUUGUCUCUAGAAAAAUCUGUUCUUUCACCAUAAACUGCUAAUUAAUGACACUUUUUCCCAGAUAGCCAUAGGCUGAAUGAUUUACAUGUCUACCUCUGUUAAACAGAAAUUCUUUAUCUGUCACAGAAGAAACAAAUGCAUGUACAGUACUAUACUGCAAAACACAGGUUUCAUAGUCAGCAUGAUAAUAUCAUUCACUCAUGCAUCUAUGUCACUUUAUCACACUUUUAACGUGCUGUUAACAUCGUAACUUUUAACAUGAUCUGCCAAAGAAAGUAGUUGACACAUUCCAAGAAUGCUUUGCAGGGUUCUCGUUACCUGGAGUGAUUCAUAUAAUUAUUUCUAACUCUGUGAAAUACAGUGACAACAUACAUACUUACAGAAGUAGUUUGUACACCACAUUGCACAGAACCCAAGAUUUUGCACAGUUAUAUUAUAUAAACUCACACAGAAUUUCUACAUAUUUCACUAGAGAAAGUAUUUCAUGCACAGCACAUUGCCAAAUACAGUGUCUCACCCAGCUGUCAGUACACUGAUUCAGUUAUGCAUUAUGCCUAUUAAAUAUAGUUUAGAUGUAUAUUGCUAAGGUAAUUAACACACUACAUAGUGUUUUACACUGCUGUAAAUUUGUACAAGAUACUCUUAAUUUUUUUAAAGAAAUCACUGAAGAGUGCAGUGUAAACUCUGUAUACUGCUGAAUACUGUGUACCAUAAGUUGUCACUGGACUGAUUCACUUAAUGUCUGUAGCUCAGUUGAACAGAGUUUCAACCUGUAUCGAGAAUAGCAUUUGUGUCCUCCCUCUUCCAUUAAGCACAAGAGUCUGAGCAUACAGUAUGUGAUUGGAACACACAGUCUAUAGUUAAAUUUUAAAAAUUUCUUACACUAAAGAUAUUUAAUCAUUAAUUACCCUUAUAACACUUCCCCUUAGUUUGAACAAACUCAUCCUAUCACUCUGGUUUCUGAAGCAGUUCUGGAAGUCUUCUUUUGUGUCUUAAGUUGCAUUGUCAUGGUAGACUCAGUGUCCUGAAUUGAUUCAAAUGUUUCCCUUUCAUGGUCAUUUUGAUUUUGAGGAAGAGCUAUGAGAUGUGUGGUGCCAAACGUGGUGAAUAAGGUGUAAGAGUGAUAGGAAACUACAGCAAUAAUCACACCAGCUCGGGCUAGGGAUUUAGCUCAGUGGCAUAAGCGUCUGCCUGGCAAGCAUGAGGUCAUGAGUUCAAGCCCCAGUACUCCCCCCCAAAUCACACCAGCUCUACUAUAUGUGCACAUAUCAGGAGAUCAUUCCUAUGCCUUCAUCACCAUUGUCACUCACUUUUAACAGCGACAAUGCAUGGGACCCAGGUUUGUCAUUUCCCUCAUUAGCAAUUCCUCAAUUGUUCUUAGGUAGAUCUUACUUUUUAAAAAGCAUCAAUUUGGGGGAGGAAUGAAAAUGGCAGCAGAUAGAUAAAAACUGGCUACAGAGGCUCCCUGAGAUAGUCAACUUAGAAUUCAACAUAAUACAGAAUGGGGAGCCCCAGAGGGAGAUGAAUUCUCUCAUCCCAAGAAGAAAUUAAGGUGAGAAGAACCAACCAAACAGUCCCGGUGCUAUUAUUGGAACAGCUAAAGGUUCAGUGUUCCCGCCACAGUGGGUGACUUGCCGACCAUCCGUGGUCCCACCACAACUUGCCGAGGUCCCGCCGUGACUUGCCAAGCCAUCCAAGCUCCUCCCACUUCGACUCACUGGAGGCACCAUUACAUUGAGUUCGGGGGUUGGUGAGCCAAAUGGAGAGCUGAGUUGGCAGGGUGCCUACAUUGACCUGUGAUGAGUGAUGAGAAUGGAGUCAUUCCAUAGAAAGGGGGGCUCCGGCGGAUGACAUUCUGGGACUGGGCAGGACUGGCAAGUACAAGUGGCAGCAGUGACUUCAGUCAGUUGUUUCCUUCCCAAAUGGGAUUGGUGGAGUGAACUAGGCCUGGGUCACAUGACCUGGCUGCGACCCAAUAGGUUAUCUGAAAUCAGAUCCCAACAGUGGUGGUGCACACUAACCACACUAACCCAGUGAAGCCUCAAGUUUGAUUGAACUAGAGGGGAGGCAGUGCAAAGUAAUACAGUGCAGGCCACAGCAGCUUGACUGACCCGGAGGGGAGGCAGUGCAAAGUAAUACAUUGCAGGCCACAGCAGCUUGACUGACCCAGAGGGAAUGCAGCAUAUAGUAAUACAAUGCAGGCCACAGCAGGAAAGGGGCUAGCAUACACUGUCCCUGUCUGCAACUCACUAGCACACAGCAGUGGGAAGGGUCAUAUAGCCAGUGUGCUUCAAAAAAUUGUAACCAACAAAGAAAGAAAUUGAGGACUCCUGGAAGAAGCAAAAAAGAUGGGAAGACGAAAAAACAACAAAAAGUCCCCAGGUCCCAACCUUGAGAACAUUGACCCAGGGCAAGUAAAUACAAAGGAGAAUGAGAACAGCAAACAUGCAAUAUCAGACACAGCACCAGUGGAAAUAAAGAGAUAUCUUCAGGACCUCAUAGACAAGUUCAGAAGGGAAAUAUUUAGCCAAGUAAAGCAAGAUAUAAGAAGAUUAAUAAAUGAGAUGCUAAGUACCCCUCAAGAAGACACAGAUGAAAGAAGGGAAGAACUCAAAGGAGAGAACCAUUUGAUGAAGAAUAUAAAAAAUAUAGAAUAUAUGAAGCAGAUUCAAAGAGAUCAUCAGGAAAUUAAAAACUCUAUGGAAAGAUGGCAAAUCAGCUUGAAAGAAACUAAGGAUAGAUUAUCCAAACUGGAGGACAGUUUUGUGAUGUAGGAUUAUGAAAGGGAAAACUUUUUAAAAAUAACAAGGAAACAAGCAGUAACAAUACAAAGGCUAGAAGACAACAAGAGGAUCUAUAACUUGAGAAUAAAGAAUGUGAAUUAAGAAGCUGGGGUACAAACAAAGGAACUACAAAGGUUAUUCACAGAAAUAAUUAAGGAAAAUUUCCCAAACAUAGGAAAAGGAAAGAUAUUCUGAUAUAUGAGGCAUACAGAACUCGAGCCACAUACAACCAAAACAGAGCUAUACCCAGGCAUAUAAUAAUCAAGAUCCCAGAAAUUCAAUAUAAGAACAUAAUAUUAAAAGCUGUUAGAGACAAGAAACAGAUCACCUAUAAAGGAAAGCCCAUCAGAAUAACAGUAGACUUCUCAACACAAACCAUCAAGUCAAGAAGAGCCUGGAGCAAAAUAGUCCAAGCCCUGAAAGAAAAUAACCUCCAUCCCAGAUUGAUAUAUACUGAUAAACUGUCUCUAGAAAUUAAUGGAGAAACAAGAUGCUUCCAAGACAAAGAGGAACUUGGGAAAUUCACAACCACCAAUCAAAGUCUACAGAGAAUACUGCAGGGCAUUCUAGAGAGAGAGAUAAGUACUAGGAUUCCAGGAACAGUGGCAGAGAGGCCUCAAUGAAUGGAGCAGAAAACAGAAAGAAGAAGAUAAGCAGACAACUGAUGGCUAAAAAAGAGCAUAACAGAAAUGAGGCAGAGAUGAUUUUAUUCAAAACUGAUAUGAUUGAUAGUAUCAAGUCUGAGAGUAUAGGCAACUACACUGAAAAUCACAUGACUCUAUGAUACACAUUCUGAUUUGAUAAUUGCCGGUUUUUGAAGUUCUAUGCUACAUACAAAGUUGUGACUUUAUUAAUACUGUUGUGUACUGAUAUAUGCAAUUAUAUUAUGUCUGAUGAUAUAGCCAAUUCUAUUGGAGAUAACAAGAGACAACACAGGAACCAUGGUAGAACUCUUUGUACAACGGUCUUACAUGUUUUUUUUUUGUUUGUUUCAUGUGUUUAUAGCAAUAUGUUUUGUUUUGUCUUGCUUUGUUUUGUUUCUCCCUCUAAUAUAGAAAGGAUAGAAAUACAUGUUAAGACUCAUGCAUAUGUAGAAUCUAUAAACAGUUUAUGAGAACUGACCUUAUGACACAUGAUGAAAUGAACAGAUACUUUAAAGAAAAAGAGACACUAAAA
This is a long non-coding RNA of Cavia porcellus (domestic guinea pig), 4705 nucleotides long. RefSeq lists it as uncharacterized. Lineage: Eukaryota; Metazoa; Chordata; Mammalia; Rodentia; Caviidae. The transcript has 2 exons. The record is from RefSeq and is a predicted model, not a curated record.